Molecule: ribosomal RNA, 323 nt
Filed under: uncultured Vibrio sp.
Lineage: Bacteria; Pseudomonadati; Pseudomonadota; Gammaproteobacteria; Vibrionales; Vibrionaceae
Description: bacterial SSU rRNA
Rfam family: Bacterial small subunit ribosomal RNA
Source: RNAcentral
GACGAACGCUGGCGGCGUGCCUAACACAUGCAAGUCGAGCGAAGUUUUUAAAGAAGAUUUCUUCGGAAUGAAACUUUAAUUAUCUUAGCGGCGGACGGGUGAGUAAUGCCUAGGAAAUUGCCUUGAUGUGGGGGAUAACCAUUGGAAACGAUGGCUAAUACCGCAUGAUGCCUACGGGCCAAAGAGGGGGACCUUCGGGCCUCUCGCGUCAAGAUAUGCCUAGGUGGGAUUAGCUAGUUGGUGAGGUAAUGGCUCACCAAGGCGACGAUCCCUAGCUGGUCUGAGAGGUUGAUCAGCCACACUGGAACUGAGACACGGUCCAG